This 160-nucleotide ribosomal RNA is filed under the name Asulcocephalium miricentonis. RNAcentral's name for it is "5.8S ribosomal RNA". It matches the Rfam family "5.8S ribosomal RNA". From Rfam's summary of the family: 5.8S ribosomal RNA (5.8S rRNA) is a component of the large subunit of the eukaryotic ribosome. It is transcribed by RNA polymerase I as part of the 45S precursor that also contains 18S and 28S rRNA. The record is from RNAcentral. Lineage: Eukaryota; Dinophyceae; Suessiales; Suessiaceae.
ACAAUUUUCAGCGACGGAUAUCUCGGUUCAAGCAUCGAUGAAGAACGCAGCAAAGUGUGAUAAUCAUUGUGAAUUGCAGAAUUCCGUGAAUCAAUGGAUCUUUGAACGCAUAUUGCACUUCUGGGUAAUCCCUGGAAGUAUGCCUGCUUCAUUGCUUGUG